GUGGGGAAUUUUGGACAAUGGGCGCAAGCCUGAUCCAGCAAUGCCGCGUGCAGGAUGAAGGCCUUCGGGUUGUAAACUGCUUUUGUACGGAACGAAACGGCGAGCUCUAAUACAGUUUGCUAAUGACGGUACCGUAAGAAUAAGCACCGGCUAACUACGUGCCAGCAGCCGCGGUAAUACGUAGGGUGCGAGCGUUAAUCGGAAUUACUGGGCGUAAAGCGUGCGCAGGCGGUUUUGUAAGACAGGUGUGAAAUCCCCGGGCUUAACCUGGGAACUGCAUUUGUGACUGCAAGGCUGGAGUACGGCAGAGGGGGAUGGAAUUCCGCGUGUAGCAGUGAAAUGCGUAGAUAUGCGGAGGAACACCGAUGGCGAAGGCAAUCCCCUGGGCCUGUACUGACGCUCAUGCACGAAAGCGUGGGGAGCAAACAGGAUUAGAUACCCUUGUAGUCC
Molecule: ribosomal RNA, 450 nt
Filed under: uncultured bacterium
Lineage: Bacteria
Description: bacterial SSU rRNA
Rfam family: Bacterial small subunit ribosomal RNA
Source: RNAcentral